RNAcentral lists this long non-coding RNA (240 nucleotides) under Malus domestica (apple). RNAcentral describes it as "long non-coding RNA (MDOM_LNC014322)". The record is from RNAcentral. Lineage: Eukaryota; Viridiplantae; Streptophyta; Magnoliopsida; Rosales; Rosaceae.
GCCUCGUCAUCACCUGUCAUAUGCACACUCAACUUUGCGCAAAUCACGGGCAAUUUGUCGAAGAUUUUAGGUGAAGGAGAAAGCACGUGAAAGUUUACUGUUCAAUCAUCCAACGGUUGCCGACACGAGUGAAAGAAUAAUACCUCUACAGGUGUUAAAGAACUUCCUAUAACUGUCCACCUUCACCUUCCAUAGCAAGGCAGACAUACAGAGCCUUUCUUCAUCUCCAAAAAUGCUUUC